CUAUCUUAGUGGCGGACGGGUGAGUAACGCGUGGGUAACCUGCCUUGCACUGGGGGAUAACACUUAGAAAUAGGUGCUAAUACCGCAUAACAGUAGGAGACGCAUGUCUUUUACUUGAAAACUCCGGUGGUGUAAGAUGGACCCGCGUCUGAUUAGCUUGUUGGCGGGGUAACGGCCCACCAAGGCAACGAUCAGUAGCCGGCCUGAGAGGGUGAACGGCCACAUUGGGACUGAGACACGGCCCAAACUCCUACGGAAGGCAGCAG
Molecule: ribosomal RNA, 266 nt
Filed under: uncultured bacterium
Lineage: Bacteria
Description: partial 16S ribosomal RNA
Rfam family: Bacterial small subunit ribosomal RNA
Source: RNAcentral